This is an RNA transcript of Xenopus tropicalis (tropical clawed frog), 1296 nucleotides long. It is a transcript of the gene named nipsnap homolog 3A, with no coding region annotated. The transcript is spliced from 7 exons. The record is from RefSeq and is marked provisional. NCBI's taxonomy places the organism in Eukaryota, Metazoa, Chordata, Amphibia, Anura, Pipidae.
GCGUGCUGGCUUCACAAGCUCCAGGAAGAACUUGACUGCGUUCACGUAGAGAACUAUGAAUAGGGGGAGUGGGGGGACUGACCUACAAUUAGUUCUCUGAGAAGUUAACGGUGCGGGGCAUUGGCCUUAAAAGCCUGCUGGGCCUCUGGCUGCCCCCUACAUAGCAUUACCCUGGCAUUAAACUUUAUCAUAAGCAGGCACCAAAGUUUGCUGCGGCACCGUACGGAUCAGCAGUGUCAUCAUGAUGUGCAGUUUACGCUCCUUCUUUGCCAAGGGGAAAUUGGCAUCAACAGCUGCUUGUGCCUGGCGGGAUCCGGCAGGUUUGGCUCAGAUGCGAGCUACGUAUGCAACAGGGCAACGUCAGGAAGACACAACUUUUUAUGAAUUUCGCACUUACACUGUAAAACCUGCAAUGAUGAGUGAUUUCAUGAAACUCACCAGUGAAAACAUUCACAUGCGCACAGCCCACUCAGAGUUGGUCGGCUAUUGGACGCUAGAGUUUGGAGGCCUCAAUAAAGUCUUCCAUAUCUGGAAAUAUGACAGCUUUGCCCAAAGAGCAGCAGUUAGAGCAAAGCUUGCCCAAGACAGAGACUGGCUGGACAAAUAUUUAUUAAAAAUGUUACCCAUGCUGGACAAACAGGAUAAUGAAGUAACUUACUUGGUGCCUUGGUGCAAAGUGCAGAAGCCAGAAACAGAAGGGGUCUAUGAGUUGGUCAGCUUUCAGUUCAAGCCUGGAGGGCCAGCAGUUUGGGGUCAUGCCUUCAGAGCAGCAAUUUCGACUCAUGUUAACACUGGCUACACUAAGCUUAUUGGUGUGUUCAACACAGAGUAUGGAUUACUUAACCAAGUGCAUGUGCUAUGGUGGAAUGAAAAUGCUGACAAUCGGGCAGCUGGCAGACACAGGGCACAUGAAGAUGCUAGAGUGGUAGCAGCAGAAACAGAGUCCAGCUCCACAUUGUAGGUACCUUCAUUCUCACCUCCUGUCAGGCGAUCCCUGCAGUGUCCACUAAAUUGGACAAGUAUUUGGGACUACUAACCUUAGUAGAGCAAGUUGGAGUCAGAGAGAGUUCAAGAUUCCUGGAGUCCCAGAGGAACCUGUUGAUGCUCCCAACCAAGUUCUCACCCAUGAAAUAAUAUCCUGUAAUUCUCCUGCAGAUCCUUGGGUGUCCGCAUUAUUUAGAACUUUUUGCCAUGAACGGAUCACAAGAUGCUAACAUUUGCAUAUAUAGGCUAUAUGUGAAUAUUGGUUAUUUCUGAAAUAUUUGGAUCUUAUUUCAAAUAAAGACCUAAAAAUCU